GGUAAAGUAUUUCUUUGCUCAGUGGUAAAGCAUCUGCUUUACAUGCAGAAGGUCUGAGGUUCAAACCCCAGCUUCUCCA
Non-coding RNA from Podarcis lilfordi (Lilford's wall lizard), 79 nucleotides. NCBI's taxonomy places the organism in Eukaryota, Metazoa, Chordata, Lepidosauria, Squamata, Lacertidae. The record is from the annotation of a GenBank genome assembly.